Molecule: non-coding RNA, 85 nt
Organism: Lentinula aff. lateritia
Lineage: Eukaryota; Fungi; Basidiomycota; Agaricomycetes; Agaricales; Omphalotaceae
Source: the annotation of a GenBank genome assembly
GGUUCGGUGGUGUAGUGGUUAUCACGUCUGUCUCACAUCCUAUGUGUCCCACAGGAGGUCCCCGGUUCGAGACCGGGUCGAACCA